This 721-nucleotide long non-coding RNA is filed under the name Populus trichocarpa (black cottonwood). Its description in RNAcentral is "long non-coding RNA (PTRI_LNC002921)". Lineage: Eukaryota; Viridiplantae; Streptophyta; Magnoliopsida; Malpighiales; Salicaceae. The record is from RNAcentral.
UCAUUACUAGCAAUAGGAAACAAAGACAAAUGAGCACCACCAUCAGACUCAAAAAUCGAAAGCAACCAUUUCAUAUCACCAAUAGAAGACUCUAAAAGAUUCGAAAAUCAGCAGUUGUAGUGAUAGAAAACACUUGACGAAGUACCUCACUAUGUUUCUUGCAUUUGCGGACAAGAGUUAGUGCACGGUCAAGGUUUUGGUGAUGUCGGAAGCGAUACGGCGGAGAGGACGAUCAUAGAGGGAAGGAGUGGAGAUGGCAAGGCGGACGGCAGAGCGGAGCAUUUGGGAAAGGUGGUCAACUUGUUUUGCUAAGUCAAAACAGUCUUGCUUUGAAGAUUCAGCCUCUUGGGUUGAUUUUAUGACACGAUCUGCCAGUAAAAUCGGAAGAGAGAGUUCUUCUUGCACCGUUUUUUCCUCUACUCCAUGAGGAGGAACUGUAGUAGAAGUAGCUGCAGCUGCAGCACUGGACAUUUUUGUUAACUGAAUUGGACAGCCCAAGUCUUCUAACCUCGUACUGCACGGACACGAGUUUGGACAAUCUAGGAGUUAAGGAUUGAUUUGAGAAAAGGAAGGAAGUUGAGGAGGAGGUGGUGGCGGCGACGGCCUUAUAGGUGUGAGUGUGUGACUGACUAGUGACUCUGCGCUAAAGGAGAAUUUUCAAAAGGGCAGAAGAAAAUAUAGGAUAGGAUGUUUUUACUUGGCCUUAGUUGAAUAAUCAUUU